RNAcentral lists this ribosomal RNA (530 nucleotides) under Alaimus primitivus. Its description in RNAcentral is "partial large subunit ribosomal RNA". It matches the Rfam family "Eukaryotic large subunit ribosomal RNA", at positions 451 to 863 of the family's 3401-position model. Lineage: Eukaryota; Metazoa; Nematoda; Enoplea; Enoplida; Alaimidae. The record is from RNAcentral.
CUCGCGAAUUUACACUGCCAGUGAAUGCAUUUUCUGUAGAUGAGCGUCACGACCGAUUGACCCGCUAACAGAAAGGUGGUUGAAAGUGGACUAAAUCUACGGAGUUAGUGACCCGUCAACCACUCUGUAUUGAGUCGGGACGAUCGAGUAUAGACCGCGCCUGAUUUGGCAUACGUGAGUGCAUAUGGGGCGAAUUUUAAACUUAUCAGUCAUGCUUGCAUGUCUGGUAGACCCUCGCCUCAGACUGGCUUACGUAAUGCACCCGCGCAUAUGGUCUGUGGCGUCAGUGUCAGUCACCCACCCGACCCGUCUUGAAACACGGACCAAGGAGUCUAACAUGUGCGCAAGUCAUUGAGUUUUAAAACUCAAAGGCGAAAUGAAAGUGAAAUUUGGUGGGAUUCUGAGUCUUCGGAUUUGGACGCACCACCGUCCCGUCUGAUCUGCAUGUCAGAUAGGCGGAGAAUGAGCGUACACGUUGGGACCCGAAAGAUGGUGAACUAUGCCUGAGCAGGAUGAAGCCAGAGGAAACU